GGGAAGGAACAAAAACUGAAAGCCACAGGAAAUAUAAAAAGAGAUGGAGUGUGUGAGAGAGAGGACAGCACUGAACUGAGAGAAGCUGCAGAAGAGAGAAAAGGAGAAAAGUCUCACCUCCACGUGAUACUGAGAGGUCUCCUGCAUGAUGACGUUGGAGUUUGAAUAUUUCUUUCGCUGCUCUGUGAGGUGGAGAGAGAAAAAUCAGAGGAACGAGAGCAGAGAGCGGAGAGCGGAGAGAGGAGACUGAGACAGAGGAGAAAGUCUCACUCAGGGCAAUAAGGAAAUGCAGCGGAUCGCAGAGCUGGCCGAAGAUUAAACCCGCAUUGUGCGUCUCAUUGACCUACAUCACAAACAAGAAGCUGAGCUUUGUGCGUGCGGCCGCACACAGUCACC
Conger conger (European conger) is the source of this 396-nucleotide long non-coding RNA. RefSeq lists it as uncharacterized. The transcript has 3 exons. Lineage: Eukaryota; Metazoa; Chordata; Actinopteri; Anguilliformes; Congridae. The record is from RefSeq and is a predicted model, not a curated record.